This 253-nucleotide ribosomal RNA is filed under the name uncultured bacterium. RNAcentral's name for it is "partial 16S ribosomal RNA". It matches the Rfam family "Bacterial small subunit ribosomal RNA", at positions 524 to 776 of the family's 1533-position model. The record is from RNAcentral.
UACGUAUGGUGCAAGCGUUAUCCGGAUUUACUGGGUGUAAAGGGCGUGUAGGCGGGAAAGCAAGUCAGAUGUGAAAACCACGGGCUCAACCUGUGGCCUGCAUUUGAAACUGUUUUUCUUGAGUACUGGAGAGGCAGACGGAAUUCCUCGUGUAGCGGUGAAAUGCGUAGAUAUGAGGAGGAACACCAGUGGCGAAGGCGGUCUGCUGGACAGCAACUGACGCUGAGGCGCGAAAGCGUGGGGAGCAAACAGG